CCCUACGGGGCGCAGCAGUGAGGAAUAUUGGUCAAUGGGCGCGAGCCUGAACCAGCCAAGUCGCGUGAGGGAAGACGGUCCUAUGGAUUGUAAACCUCUUUUGUCGGGGAGCAAAAGACGCCACGUGUGGCGUUCCGAGAGUACCCGAAGAAAAAGCAUCGGCUAACUCCGUGCCAGCAGCCGCGGUAAUACGGAGGAUGCGAGCGUUAUCCGGAUUUAUUGGGUUUAAAGGGUGCGCAGGCGGAUUUUUAAGUCAGCGGUCAAAUCGUGGGGCUCAACCCCAUCCAGCCGUUGAAACUGGGGAU
Molecule: ribosomal RNA, 305 nt
Filed under: uncultured bacterium
Lineage: Bacteria
Description: bacterial SSU rRNA
Rfam family: Bacterial small subunit ribosomal RNA
Source: RNAcentral